GACGUACAAAAAAUUGCAAUGUAUAAGGUUCAAAGCACAAGAAUAUUAUAUAAUAUUGAAUACAGACUUUUAAAAAUGUUUAAUACAGCAGCAUAAUGGUAGUACUGCGUGAUGCUCGAUGGAAAGUUUCCCAUAGGUUAUAAUGACAAAGUGCUAGGAUAUGACCGCAAUGAAUUCCAACCAAUGAUAAAUUUAGUGAGGAAUUUAAUACAAACACAGAUUCAUAUGAAUAAUCGAUUGUUUUAAAAUGGUCUAGAAUGUAAAUCCGUAGGCUUAGAUUGUUCUUGUCCUUUAUAAAAAUGCUAGUUAAUUCAAAUUCUGAAGUCUUAAUGUAAUUGGGUAGAUACAUAAAAGUUCAUUUUAUUUUAUACAUUAGUAAAACUAAAAGUAAACAAAAAUCAGGUACCAUAAUGCUUUGAUAAAUGUUUAAUUGCGAUUUUGUUGCUGCUUUGUGUUUUCUUUCUGUUUCAGCAACAAUCUAUAAUGAUGAUCAAGGCAUAAAUGCGCUACAAUUAACGACUUAUUAAAGAUCAUAGUUUAAUAGAGAGAUUAAUGACUUACAAGAAACAAAUGAGCUAUUGAAAUGAUCAGAAGAUAUUAUACCAAAAUAAGAAUGCUGCUAUGACGUUGUGGAUAUGAUAACGAUUACAAUAAGAGAAUGAGACUAUUAGUUUGCGACCAUUAGGUUGGAGAGAGGGCCACCAUGGCGCAAAUGAUAUAGUUAAAUAAUGAUGACACGUAAUAAUAAGCGAGUAUAUUUCUAAAGUUAAACACUGCAUCUACUUAUUUAAAGAACUCAGAUACUGCUUAAUUGUUUUUAUUUUGUUCCUUUCAGGCAUCAUUGACAUAAUGAUCAUGGAUAUUUUACUGAUGUCAUGACGUUGUGGAUAUGAUGACGAUCACAAUAAGAGAUUGAGACUAUUAGUUUACGACCAUUAGGUUGGUGAGAGGGCCAACAUGGCGUAAAUGAUAUAGUUAAUUAAGAUGAUGAUUAAAAUGAUGAUUAAGAUGUUGAUAAGAGAAUGAGACUAUUAAGUUUACGACCAUAGGCUAGUGAGCGGGCUGCCAUGGCGUAAAUGAUAUAGUUAAACAAUGAUGUCAAGUAAUAAUAAGUGAGUAUAUUUCUAAAGUUGCACUACAUUUACUUAUUUAAAGAACUCAGAUACUGCUUAAUUGUUUUUAUUUUGUUCCUUUCAGGCAUCAUUGACAUAAUGAGCAUGGAUAUUUUACUGAUGUCAUGACGUUGUGGAUAUGAUGACGAUCACAAUAAGAGAUUGAGACUAUUAGUUUGCGGCCAUUAGGUUGGUGAGAGGGCCAACAUGGCGCAAAUGAUAUAGUUAAUUAAGAUGAUGAUUAAAAUGAUGAUUAAGAUGUUGAUAAGAGAAUGAGACUAUUAAGUUUACGACCAUAGGCUAGUGAGCGGGCUGCCAUGGCGUAAAUGAUAUAGUUAAACAAUGAUGUCAAGUAAUAAUAAGUGAGUAUAUUUCUAAAGUUGCACUACAUUUACUUAUUUAAAGAACUCAGAUACUGCUUAAUUGUUUUUAUUUUGUUCCUUUCAGGCAUCAUUGACAUAAUGAGCAUGGAUAUUUUACUGAUGUCAUGACGUUGUGGAUAUGAUGACGAUCACAAUAAGAGAUUGAGACUAUUAGUUUGCGGCCAUUAGGUUGGUGAGAGGGCCAACAUGGCGCAAAUGAUAUAGUUAAUUAAGAUGAUGAUUAAAAUGAUGAUUAAGAUGUUGAUAAGAGAAUGAGACUAUUAAGUUUACGACCAUAGGCUAGUGAGCGGGCUGCCAUGGCGUAAAUGAUAUAGUUAAACAAUGAUGUCAAUUAAUAAUAAGUGAGUAUAUUUCUAAAGUUGCACUACAUUUACUUAUUUAAAAAACUCAGAUACUGCUUAAUUGUUUUUAUUUUGUUCCUUUCAGGCAUCAUUGACAUAAUGAUCAUGGAUAUUUUACUGAUGUCAUGACGUUGUGGAUAUGAUGACGAUCACAAUAAGAGAUUGAGACUAUUAGUUUACGACCAUUAGGCUAGUGAGCGGGCUGCCAUGGCGUAAAUGAUAUA
Molecule: long non-coding RNA, 2060 nt
Organism: Maniola jurtina (meadow brown)
Lineage: Eukaryota; Metazoa; Arthropoda; Insecta; Lepidoptera; Nymphalidae
Exons: 3
Source: RefSeq, a predicted model, not a curated record